RNAcentral lists this long non-coding RNA (1433 nucleotides) under Sorghum bicolor (sorghum). RNAcentral's name for it is "long non-coding RNA (SBIC_LNC002408)". The record is from RNAcentral. Lineage: Eukaryota; Viridiplantae; Streptophyta; Magnoliopsida; Poales; Poaceae.
CUUCGUUCUCGUGGCUUCUAGAAUCUUCUAGAUGGUAGAAAAUUGCGCGGUGCGUUGAUAUCUCUAUGUAAUCCCGACAUGUGGGCCUUUCUUCCUUAUUUCCUGAUAACCCCCUGCAGAAACAGAUAAACAACAAAACUCGUGGAAUUCUGUCAGAUCAAACCCUAAUUCUAGGUGUUGUUUGUAUAUUGGUCCUUUCUCUUGUUUAUUUGAUAAUUCAAAUUGAUACUUAAGAACCGUUAACAAAUACCCCCAUACUUAGGCUUUUACUCGUCCUCGAGAAAAGGAUGGUUAAGAACAAUAUUUGGGGUAAAACAUUUUUAAAAUAUUCUCUUCAUAACUGCAAGGUGUUAAAAUCCACUAUGAACUAUAGUCAGGGAAGUAUAUGGUUAAGAGUAGAGAUCCUUUCUUCUCAAUCCUGUCACUUGGAGUUUUUUGUAUAUUUUUGAAAGAAAGUUAGCAUACCUUUUAUCCUCAUAGGUCUUCUCAGAUCACUCAUUAUCUUUUAUAUAUCUUACUGAGGCUAUUUUAAUUUGCAAAAAUUCUCAAGCAUACUUACUUUGCAUUUAUUGCCUGAUCAAAACGGGAUCCGAGGAGGGGAAUGUCAUACUCUUAGAUCAAAGACUUUGGAAAUUAAAAUCCUUGUCAACUCUUGUUGGCAUAUUGCUUAUUAGAAGGACCAUGGGCUAUCAUUUUCUUUUUCUUCUUUUUUUUAAGUGGAUACCGAGGUACCCCUAAUUCUACUGCUGGACGUUUAUCCAUUUUUUCUGCGAGGUUAUCGAGCACUUGCUCCUUUUUAUUUUCUCAAAAUAUCUUCAUUUUUGCAUAGCCCAUGCCUCUAAUGCAAUAAUACUUUGGAAGAGUGAAUCUUUCUAAAUAAAUGUCUUGAUCUUAUGAGCAUGAUAAAUCUCUCAACAAGGGUCUAACUCAUUUUGAACAAACUCAAUACAGAGUAGAUAGCUUUUAUAAUCAUAAUUAAUAUUUUCAGUUUUAUCAGGCAUAUAAAACACUGAGGAUGGUAGCUAGAAUUUUUGAAUAAAUUUUGAAAUAAAUUCUCCAAGCAACAAUGAUAUCAAGAAUAAGAAACUCAUACUUUACCAUCUCACAUUCCAUAUUGACUUAACUAACACAGGGUUUUUAAAAUGAUUUUUCAAUAAUUGCAUGUUUCAGGAAAUAUCAUAGAGUGAGAUUAAUCAUGAUUAGAAACAUUUUAAGCUUGUUAAUUUAUCAUGUCGGAAAAAGUAUUCUGCAUAGUCCAAGAUAUGUGUAUGUGUAAAAUAAAGUGUGCAGAGUGUGUACCUGAAUCGUGGAGUGGUGUAGUCGAAGUGUGUUUGGCAUGUCGAGGGAUCUCCCCCAUACUUGUUUUCUGCUUUCUUGCACAAAAAUAAAGUAGAGACACACGAAACAUAAUAAUAAUAAUAAUAAUAAUAAUA